This 467-nucleotide ribosomal RNA is filed under the name uncultured bacterium. Its description in RNAcentral is "partial 16S ribosomal RNA". It matches the Rfam family "Bacterial small subunit ribosomal RNA", at positions 28 to 507 of the family's 1533-position model. The record is from RNAcentral.
GAUGAACGCUGACAGCAUGCUUAACACAUGCCAGUCAACUUGAAUUUGGGUUUUUAACUUAGGUUUGGGUGGCGGACGGGUGAGUAACGCGUAAAGAACUUGCCUCACAGCUAGGGACAACAUUUGGAAACGAAUGCUAAUACCUAAUAUUAUGAUAAUAGGGCAUCCUAUAAUUAUGAAAGCUAUAAGCGCUGUGAGAGAGCUUUGCGUCCCAUUAGCUAGUUGGAGAGGUAACGGCUCACCAAGGCGAUGAUGGGUAGCCGGCCUGAGAGGGUGAUCGGCCACAAGGGGACUGAGACACGGCCCUUACUCCUACGGGAGGAAGCAGUGGGGAAUAUUGGACAAUGGACCGAGAGUCUGAUCCAGCAAUUCUGUGUGCACGAUGAAGUUUUUCGGAAUGUAAAGUGCUUUCAGUUGGGAAGAAACAAAUGACGGUACCAACAGAAGAAGUGACGGCUAAAUACGUG